This is a long non-coding RNA of Mercenaria mercenaria, 7124 nucleotides long. RefSeq lists it as uncharacterized. NCBI's taxonomy places the organism in Eukaryota, Metazoa, Mollusca, Bivalvia, Venerida, Veneridae. The record is from RefSeq and is a predicted model, not a curated record. The transcript has 4 exons.
UGGAAACAUACAUCUACAUCCAGACAAUGAAAUAAAUGGAUGACCGACGGUCAGUUGUACAUAGUUACACAGCACAGUUUGGAGCAUAUGUAGGGUAUGUAUGCUUGUUUUCUUGUAGCAUCAUUUUGAUGUAUUUGUUCCUCUUUUUACACAUGCCUUUCUGUAUCUAUACUCUCAGUCCCAACAUGGUUACCAUGGAAACGUACAUCUACAUCUAGGCAGUGGUAUAAUGGAUGGCCAACGUUCACACGGACAGAGUCAUACAGCAGACUUUUGAGCAUAUACGGUGUGUAUGUUUACUUUUUCUUUCUUGUGGCAACGCAUUGAUAUAAUUGUAUCUGUUUUUACACAUGCCUAUCUGUAUCUAUAUACUCCAAUCUGACUAAAGUAUAUCUUCAAUUAACGCUGCGCUUUGGAUCUGAAGACGUGCUAUUGAUAGACUCGUUCUGACGAACCUUCCGCUAGCCAAUCAGAGUCUUGCUUUCAACAUUUUGAAUGUUUAAAAAACCUAUAUUUAGCAUGGGUUUUUCAUUUUUUUAUGACGACCACAUCAUUACUGCGCCCUCGUGUUUUGAGAGGUAUCAUAUGUCACGGUACGUACUUGGUCACGUAAGUGGAGUAUAUGUGUCAGGCAGCUGGUUAGCUCAGUCGGUAGAGCACUCGCCCUGUAAGCGAGGGGUCCCGGGUUCGAGCUGCACAUUUUUCUCACCCUGUAACAUUCGACGCUUUUUUGAUGGUUCAGCCAAAUGCUUGUUGAAACGAGUCGUCUGGCUGGUUCAAAUAAAUAUAGAUUUGCUAAAAUAAAAAUAGCAAUAUCGGAAAUCCAAAAAGAUGAAUGUGAAUAGGUCAUCCUUAGAUCUUCGUUUAGAAGAUCAAGUACUUUAGUCAGAUUGCUAUAUACUCAAUCUGAACAGGGUUACCAUGGAAACGUACCUCUUAAUCUUGGCAUUGGUAUAAAUGGAUGACCGACGUUCACGUGUACAAAGAUAUACAGCAGAUUUUGGGAGUUUAUUGGAUGUGUGUGUGUUUAUUUUUUAUUUCUUGUGACAACGCUUUGAUAUAUAUGUUUGUUUCUGCUUUUUAUAUACCUUUCUGUACCUAUACACACAACAGGGUUACCAUGGAAACGUACCUCUACAUCUAGGCAGUUGUACAAAUGGAGACCAGAAUUUGGAGCACAAAGGGUGCGAGUGUGUUUACUUUUUUUCUUGUGGCAACACUUUGAUAUGUUUGUUUCUGUUUUUUUAACACAUGUACCUUUCUGUAUCUAUAAACUCAACAGGGUUACCAUGGAAACAUACAUCUAAAUCUAGGCAACGGUAUAAUGGCUGGCCAACGUUCAGAUGUACAAAGUUAUAAAGGAGAUUUUUGAACAUGUAGGGAGUAUAUGUUUACUUUUUCUUUAUUGUGGCAAUACUUUGAUAUGUUUGUUUCUUUGCUUUGCACAUGCCUUUUUGUAUCUAUGCACACAACAGGAUUACCAUGGAAACUUACAUCUACAUCAUGUAGGCAAUGGUAUAAUGGAUGACCGACGUUCAGAUGUACACAGUAAUACAGCAGCAUUUGGAGCAUUUUUGGGAGGUGUGUAUGUUGCCUUUUCCUUCCUUGUGUAAACACUAUAUGUUUUUUUUUCUGCUUUUACACAUGUCUUUCUAUAUUUAUACACUCAACCUCAACAGGAAUACCAUGGAAACUCACCUCUACAUCUAGGCAAUGGUAUAAAUCAAUGACCGGCGUUUAGUCGUACAAAGUUAUACAGCAGAUUUUGGAGCAUAUAGGGUGUGUAUGUUUACAUUUUCUUUCUUAUAGCAACACUGACUUAUUUGUUUUCUAUUUGUUUCUGUACAAAUGCCUCUAUACACACAGGUUACCACGGAAACUUACAUGUAGGCAGUGGCUGACGCCCGAGUCUACAAACAGCAGUGAGAGAAAUCUUGCAACCGACCAUGUGAUAACGCUUAGCUUUAAAUACUGAGCUUUGCUAAGAAUUCAGGCAAAACUUCAAGUUAAACAAAAAUCUGAAUGAUAUGUGCGCAUAUGGAGAACUCAGUCUACCUUGUAUGUUUUUGUUUCGUUAAAAAUAUGUGUUCGGUAUUUACUGUUUUGUCAGGGAUUUGUUUACAGUGGGUACUUGGUUGUGUUUGUGGUGGUGUUUGUGUGUUUGCUGUGGUGUUUGUGGCGGUGCUUUAGUGUUUGUAGUGGUGUUCGUGGUGUCUUCGGUGUUUUCUUCUCGAUUGUAAACGAUGUGGCUUGUGUUGUUUUGUCAAAAUUGGUUUUUGUUGGGGCGUAUUGUUUAUCGAAUUGGGUUCUUCGUCUUUCGUUCCGCUACAAUGUAUUUUAUUUUUUUACCAUUAGCACUAUAUUUUUUUUUUACUAGAUUUAUUCUUGUACACAAUUAUAAGAAUAGUUAAAUAUUAUGGUGUGUUUUAAAAAAAAGUUUUGUCCCAUCAAUUUUAGAUAUCUGCAGAGACGUACCAUGAAAUGCAGAAAAUACGACAGACAUAAGAUGCAGACGACAUCUGAGUAAGCGCGCGCAACUUUUCUAUUUUAUGUCUACUUUUAUUUUGUUUUGUAUUGCUAUUUUAUUCAUUUAGAAUGUUGGGGUACUUCGAGAAAAAGGCCGCAGACGGAUAUGGAAAAGCAGAUCAACAAGAUCUUCAUAAUGAAAAGGUGUGUAUAUUUCUACUAAGAUUAACCUAUUCUGUGUGCAUUUCUCUGCAGAUUUUUCCAAAAUGGUGGCUGAUAUUGAAUACAAGCCCGUGUGAAGAUAUCAUGGUGUGAAUAUCGCAUUGGUCUAGUGGACGGUGCAGCUAUGGUAACUGAUGUUGACUAUACAAGCGCGUACAAGGUUGUCAUGUUGUAGAUUUUACAAUGGUUUAGUGGACGGUGCAGCCUGGUCCUUUUCUCGGACGCAAUGAGUGUAAUUUAAAGGCUUACGAAUGCGCAUACAUUUCCUGGCUUUGGUGAAAGUAAAACUCAAAGUAUCAGACGAUAACUCAAAACUUUUCGAUGAGAAACUCGAACUGUCUGACGAUUAACACGAACUGUCCGACGAGAAGCAGUUUCCUGUACCAUACACGAUGAUGGAGCUAUUACAUUUGCCGCAUGACUGACUUGCUGGUGGUACCAUAAAAUGUGCACUGGUAUCCAAUCGAUAACGGUCACCAGAGACGCGCUGGUACACUAUCGAUGCAGGUCAACAUAGUAAUCAACUGUUUUCAACAAGAUAUAUUUCAAGUACAGAAGUGAGAAAUAUCUGCAAAGGGAAGAUCCAAGUAUGACGAUUACACGACAGACCAGGCACAAGCACAUAAGCCUGACACCAUCACAGCUGCCCUGACACAAACCUAGUUAAACAAAUUAGACAUAAGCUGAUAUGUACAUAAUUAUAACCCCAUGUACAAAGUAUUCGGGGCUAUAUUGGAGUCACACAUGUCCGUCCGUCCGUUUGUCCAUCCAUCCAUCAUGUCCACUACAUAUUGUCUAAAUGGCUUGGAAGAUAUUUAGCUCGACUAAUCGAAGAAUAAGGGGGUUAUCGUACUUGCCCUGGCGACGGCGGCACCCUCACCGAUGCAUUCAAGUUAAAACAAGCUUCUCAGUGUCAUUCUAUCUUCCUAACUACUUCCCCUAUUAACAUCAAACUUCACAUAAGUGUUAGUCUUGAUAAGGGGCAUACAUCUGUUAGCUUAAGAGUCAGACAUCCUAAACGUCAAGGUCACUGGGUUAAUAUUUUGAUAGAGCUGGUUAAAGUUUUACGACAAGCUUCUCAUUUCAAUAUAUCUUCUUAGCUACUGCCCUUUAAUCAUUAAACCUUACAUGAGGAUUAAUCUUAUAAGGUGACAGAAAUCAUUUGGUUUAGGGUCAGGUAUCUCAAAGGUCAAGGUCACUUGGGUCAGAUUUUGUAAUAAUGUUGGUUAUAGAUUUAUGGCACCCUUAUUAAUCCGAUAAUGUUAAUGAAACUCAUGUUUCUUAGCACUGGUAUCCCUCAUAUCCUACCCAUACUUCGUCUACACCAAUUCGAACACCUACCCAAAAAUACAUUUCUUGCACAAUGUCAUAUCUGAUAUUCCCCUCAUCUCUGCUACCCACCUGUCUUCAUGUACCUCCACCAACCUCCUUUCACCAACUCUCGCCCCAAACAAAAAAUAUUUUACCUUUUCUUUACAAUUAAUUAGAUUGUAUAUGCUGUAUCUCAUAUGUUUAUAUGAUGUUUAAGCCAGUAUCCUUUAUUCCCUCGCUUCUAUUCCCACCCCCACCCACUUCCAUUUUUUUCAUAUAUUUGUUAACAUCUCUCACAUAUCUAAUCUCAUACCCCAUUCCCUAUUUGCAGAUGCACUCUCGCUUUCUUUUAUAUUUAUUUUACAUCUUUCACACUUAUUUAUAUUUCAUGUGGAAUCUUAGUAUCCCUCAUAACCCCUACCCCACCCUCGCACACUGCUUCCCCUAGCAUUUCCGCCUUACAUUUCUCACACAAGCUUAUAUCUCAUAUUGUUUCUUAGAUUCCCUCAUUCCAAACUCCCGUCGCACCUACACCCCUCUCUCUCUCUCUCCCCCCCCCCCCGGGCAAAAAAAGAAAAGAAAAGAAAAAAAUCUUUUUUCAUCUCUCGCGCGUACUAAUGUAAUAGUAAACAUUGUCGCAUAGUAAAGCGGGCACAACUCUACUCAUUAGGUCCAAGGUCAAGGUCACACUUGAAGGUCAAAAGUCAUGAAAGCGGCAUCUGGGGUAUUAAUUAAUCAUCUUCAGUGACUGAGAGCUCUAGCUGGUUACGCGGCUUAAUGUGUAACAUCAGCUUAAUUGUAUCAAUUAUUUGACAAGUGUUUGCUAAAUUUUAGGAUAAAUAUUUUCAUUGAAAUUAAUAAAAUUAUUCAUUUGCGGAUCAUUGAUACUGUCAAACUAUUUUCAUACGAAACAAAUACUUCUGGCUUGAUUUGUUAUUGCUCAUGAAAUUAUAAAUCUUUAUUUUUAUCAGGUUAUUUUUUAUUUUUUACGAACACAAAAUGCACAUUUGACUUAAAAAAAAAAUCAGGGGCAGCCAAUAUUUGUAAGAAGUCAAAAGAAUACUGAUUUGGUCAAUUAUUCGCGUCUCAAAAUGUUACUCCUUUUCACUCCUUUAUAUUUGAUGCACAUUUUAUCAAUGUGUUAAUCACAUGCAAUGCGCAACGUUACGCUUACUGUUAUGGCAAUAUAUAUGUUGAAAAGAUAAUAUAGUUCUACGAAAUUGAUUUCUUUUUCAUUUUAAUAUAGUUAUUUUCUACUAGUUUUUAACAAACAAAAAAAAAUACCGAUAUGUGUAAUUCAUAUUCUUUCGCGUUAAAUUGAUGUUGCGUGCAAGUGAAAAUUGUAUUUGGAAACAGUGGGUUUAUCAGGGUAUAAUGUAUCGUUAUGUUUCAGUAAUACUCUGAAAGCUUGACAUGAAAUUCCAUACUCUAGUAACUACAAAAUGUACAGAUAAAAUCAUAGCUCUUUUAUUCAAACACCCAUACUAUCGUCUUGUGUCUGUGUCGUCUAAAUGUAGCUUUUUAGAGUCAUUUUGGCCUCAUUUCUUGUACACUGAAUUUGACACUGUUUGAUAUAACUGUUAACCGACACCUAAUUCUGAGUACUAAUAUUAACCCUUGGGGGCUGAAAUGACUUUUAAAGCAAUUUUGUCUUUUAAAGGAACAAUGUGUUAAACUUCAGACUGGUAUAUCUUUAGGAAUGAUUGGUAAAAAGAUGCACUGAUCUAAUGUUUAGUAGAAUUAUGGGCAAACCUUAAGGUUUUUAGUCCGCGCUUUUAAAUGAUUACUGGAAUGUAACGUUAGAUUAAAACAUGCUAAACUCAUUGCUUCAAACGGAGAGAAAUACAAAUUUGUAUUUAUAUGUUUUUCACUAGAACGGAACUACACUUGAACACGAAAGGAUAUGAAUUGUAAGCACUGGAAAUGUGCUUCAAAAAGUCAAAGAUGUAUAGAUCUAGUAAUGCUUACAAAAUCACUAAAAUACACACCAAACGAUUAAAAUGUAAAAGAAACAUAUACAUCUCGUAGACCUAUUUUACUUUUAUAACAAAAGCAUUGUGACGUCAUGAAAUACAGCGUGACGUUACGCAUGGCGCAUGUCUCUGCGCGGUUUAAUAAGAUAAGACAAGAUAAGAUAAGAUUAGAUAAAUCUAUUUUAACUCGGCAAGAUAUAAAAAGAUAUAAAACAAUACAUCAUAACACGCUAUGUACCCGGAUAAUCCUAACUCUGUUCAGCGACCCUAACUCAGUGCCAACAUGGCUGACAGAAAGACGAUGUAUGCAGUUAAUUUCCUUGUCUUUUUUUCAUGUUUUUAUGUUAGUAUGCAAUGUUAGCGUAAAACUUUUGAUAGUCAUAAUAUCCUGUAUUGAUAACAUGUUUUGUGUACUAAAUAUUUCAAUCGAAAAGUCACAUUAUGUGGCUGGAAUUCAUUAAAAUGUACUCAAAGAAGUCUUCAAAAUGAACAUGUUUUAUGUUUCUAACUGUUUUAAAGUACCAGAAAUUGCAGUAAGACCUUACUUAUCAACUGUAUUAGUUCCAUAAACAUCUCUUUGACAAUGUUUAACAGUAUCAAAGUUUGAAAUUGAUUUUUAUAGCUUAAAAAUUGUAUUGAUUAUCAGGUGGGUUUAAAUUUGCGGAUAAUUCCUAACUGGUAUAGGAAACAGUGCUGGAUAAAUACGAACUUAGAAUUGAUAAACACCUAACCAGACUAAAACAUAGCUGUUCGUCUGUGCUUUAUUUAUGGACUGUAGAUCUUUGACCUACCCACCCCUGCAGGGAUGUGGGAUUCCUAUGUCCAGCCGUUAUCCGACUCGUGAUUUUUUGCCGGCGGACAAGUGCAUUUUUCAUUCUGUGUGUCCGCGGUCAAGCAUACUUUUUCAGGUAUAAAAUGAGAAAACAAAAAAAUAUCAUUUAGAUUGUGUGUUGCUUCAAGUGUAUGGAGGUGAUAAAGAUAAUGGGUUCUUUGACUAGGUCUCGCGCACACUGUAACUCGGUGACUAUGAUAAAAUAUCAGAGAAGAUUUAGAUACAAGAAGAUUUAUUUAACGUCGGAUAAGUAUAAACAUAUAACACCAGCUUAAAGCUAUUUUCCGACAAACACAUGUAAAUAAGCUCAACAUAAGUAA